UUUGGGUGGGGUUUGUUGGGGUUUGGGUGUUGGGAUCCGGGUGUUCCUUUGGAAUCCAGGUGUUUCUUUGGGAUCUGGUUGUUGUUUUUUGGGAUUUGGGUGUUCCAUUGGGGUUGAGGUUGUUGGGAUCCGGGUGUUCUUUUUGGGCUCUGAGUGUUCCUUUCAGGUUGGGGUUGUUGGGAUCCGGGUGUUCCUUUGGGAUUGGGGUGUGAUUUUAUGGGGUUUGGGUGUUUGGGAUCCGGGUGUUGCUUUGGGGUUGAGGUUGUUGGGAUCCGGGUGUUCUUUUUGGGAUCUGAGUGUUCCUUUCAGGUUGGGGUUGUUGGGAUCCGGGUGUUCUUUUUGGGAUCGGGGUGUGAUUUUAUGGGAUUUGGGUGUUGGGAUCCAGUUGUUCCUUUGGGAUUUGGGUGUUGGAUCCGGGUGUUCUUUUGGGAUCUGAUUGUGGUUUUUUUGGGAUCCGGGUGUUCCUUUGGGGUUCCAGUUGUUGGGAUCUGGGUGUUGUUUUUUGGGAUUGGGGUGUGGUUUUAUGGGAUUUGGGUGUUCCAUUGGGGUUGAGGUUGUUGGGAUCCGGGUGUUCUAUUUGGGAUCUGGGUGUUCCUUUGGGGUUCCGGUUGUUGGAAUCCAGGUGUUGUUUUUUGGGAUUUGGGUGUUGGGAUUUGGGUGUUCCUUCAGGAUCUGGGUGUUCCUUUGGGGUCCAGGUGUUGUUUUGGGAUCUGGGUGUGAUUUUAUGGGAUUUGGGUGUUGGGAUCCGGGUGUUCUUUUUGGGGUUGAGGUUGUUGGGAGCUGGGUGUUCUUUUGAGAUGGGGUGUGGUUUGUUGGGAUCCGGGUGUUGGGAUCUGGGUGUUGUUUUUGGGAUCUGAGUGUUCUGUUUGGGAUUUGGGUGUUGGGAUCCGGGUGUUCCUUUGGGAUUUGGGUGUUGGGAUUUGGGUGAUGGGAUUGUGGUGUUCCUUUGGGGUUUGGGUUGUUGGGAUCCGGGUGUUCCAUUGGGGUUGAGGUUGUUGGGAUCCGGGUGUUCUUUUUGGGAUCUGAGUGUUCCUUUCAGGUUGGGGUUGUUGGGAUUUGGGUUGUUGGGAUCCGGGUGUUCCUUUGGGAUCUGGGUGUUCCUUUGGGGUUCCAGUUGUUGGGAUCUGGGUGUUGUUUUUUGGGAUUUGGGUGUUGGGGUUUGGGUGUUGUUUGUUGGGAUUUGGGCGCACACCGUGUUCACCAAGAAGGACGACAAGAAGGACAAGCAGAAGCAGAGCCUGGAGCCCUGGAAGCUCUACGCCACCGUGGGCGGCCUGGUGGCCUUCGACGUGGUCACGCUGAGCGUGUGGCAGAUCGUGGACCCCCUGCACCGCACCAUCGAGGUCUGGAUGGUUCUCCAGGGGGUUUGGGGGGGUCCUGGGAGGUUCUGGAGAUGUUCUGGAGGGGUUGGAGGAGGUUCUAUGGGGGUUUGAGAGGGUUUUGGGAGGUUCUAUGGGGGUUUGAGGGUUCCUGGGAAGUUCUCAAGAUGUUCUUGAGACGUUUGAGGAGCUCCUGGGAGGUUCUCCAGGUGUUUGAGGUGGUUCUGGAAGGGUCCUGGGAGGUUCUCGAGAUGUUCUGGAGGGGUUGGAGGUGGUUCUGGAAGGUUCUCCCAGGGUUUGAGGAGCUCCUGGGAGGUUCUCCAGGUGUUUUAGGAGGUUCUGGAAGGUUCUCUGUGGGUUUGAGAGGUUCCUGGGAGGUUCUUGAGAUGUUCUGGAGGUGUUUGAGGGUUCCUGGGAGGUUCUUGAGAUGUUCUGGAGGUGUUUGAGGGUUCCUGGGAGGUUCUCGAGAUGUUCUGGAGGGGUUUGAGGGGGUUCUGGAAGGUUCUAUGGAGGUUUGAGAGGUUCCUGGGAGGUUCUGGAGAUGUUCUGGAGGGGUUUGAGGAGCUCCUGGGAGGUUCUCCAGGUGUUUGAGGUGGUUCUGGAAGGGUCCUGGGAGGUUCUGGAGAUGUUCUGGAGGGGUUNCUGGAGGGGUUUGAGGAGCUCCUGGGAGGUUCUCCAGGUGUUUGAGGUGGUUCUGGAAGGGUCCUGGGAGGUUCUGGAGAUGUUCUGGAGGGGUUGGAGGUGGUUCUGGAAGGUUCUCGAGAUGUUUGAGGAGGUUCUGGAAGGUUCUAUGGGGGUUUGAGAGGGUCCUGGGAAGUUCUGGAGGUGUUUGAGGGUUCCUGGGAGGUUCUUGAGAUGUUCUGGAGGUGUUUCAGGGGGUUCUUGAGGUGUUUGAGGAGCUCCUGGAAGGUUCUCCAGGUGUUUGAGGGUUCCUUGAGGUGUUUGAGGUGGUUCUGGAAGGUUCUCUGUGGGUUUGAGAGGGUUUUGGGAGGUUCUUGAGAUGUCCUGGAUGGGUUGGAGGGUUCCUGGGAAGUUCUCAAGAUGUUCUGGAGGUGUUUGAGGGGUUCUUGAGGUGUUUGAGGAGGUUCUGGAAGGUUCUCGAGAUGUUCUGGAGGUGUUUGAGGGUUCCUGGGAGGUUCUCAAGGUGUUCUGGAGGUGUUUGAGGACUUCUUGAGUUGUUUAAAGGGGGUUCUGGAAGGAUCUCCAGGGGUUUGAGUGUUCCUUGAGGUGUUUGAGGUGGUUCUGGAAGGUUCUCCAGGGGGUUUGAGGGCCUCAUGGGAGGUCCUUGAGAUGUUCUGGAGGUGUUUGAGGGGUUCUUGAGGUGGUUUUUGAGGUUCUCCAGGUGUUUGAGGGGUUUCUGGAAGGUUCUUGAGAUGUUCUGGAGGUGUUUGAUGAUGUUCUGGAAGGUUCUCUGGGGGUUUGAGAGGGUUCUGGGAGGUUCUGGAG
This 2765-nucleotide long non-coding RNA is filed under the name Zonotrichia albicollis (white-throated sparrow). RNAcentral's name for it is "lncRNA (ENSZALG00000000682.1)". Lineage: Eukaryota; Metazoa; Chordata; Aves; Passeriformes; Passerellidae. The record is from RNAcentral.